This 200-nucleotide ribosomal RNA is filed under the name uncultured bacterium. RNAcentral describes it as "partial 16S ribosomal RNA". It matches the Rfam family "Bacterial small subunit ribosomal RNA", at positions 1301 to 1500 of the family's 1533-position model. The record is from RNAcentral.
CAGGCUGCAACUCGCCUGCACGAAGUCGGAAUUGCUAGUAAUCGUAGGUCAGCAUACUACGGUGAAUACGUUCCCGGGCCUUGUACACACCGCCCGUCAAACCAUGAGAGUUGGCAACACCCGAGGUCGGUAGUCUAACCGCAAGGAGGACGCCGCCGAAGGUGGGGCUGAUGAUUAGGGUUAAGUCGUAACAAGGUAGC